Molecule: ribosomal RNA, 635 nt
Filed under: uncultured Tulasnella
Lineage: Eukaryota; Fungi; Basidiomycota; Agaricomycetes; Cantharellales; Tulasnellaceae
Description: eukaryotic LSU rRNA
Rfam family: 5.8S ribosomal RNA (bases 183-346)
Source: RNAcentral
UUUGACGUUCGCUUUUCCGUCGUCCUCGGGACGUUAAGGUGCUCUGGUCAAGGAUAAGCGACCCCUCUGACCGAGGUGAAACCCGUCUCUCCGUGUUACCUCGAGAAACUCUUUUUUUCCGAGGCACACGUUAAAGAUUGUUCCGCGUUGUGAGUCUAACAUCGGUUGUAUAAACUUUUUACAACCGGUAGCGCUGGAUCCCUUGGGACGUCAUUCGAUGAAGACCGUUGCAAAUUGCGAUAAAGUGAUGUGAUGCGCAAGUCCACCACUUAUACGUGAAUCAUCGAGUUGUUGAACGCAUUGCACCGCGCCCUAAUCMGGCUGCGGUAUGCCCCUUUGAGCGUCAUUGUAUCCCUUCGGGAGUCCUUUUACRAGGACCCGAGUUCGGAGUCCUCGGUCCUCUCUGGAUCGUGUUCUCUCAGAUGCCUCGCGCCGAUCGCCUGAUGGGUCCUCUAAUGCCUAAGCGUGGAGUUCCUUCAGUCCGAGACGCGCUUGACCGGGUCUUGAGCCUGCGUCAUCAAGUCUGCCUAACCRGCGGUACUACAACGCAUGACCUCAUUGGGGUAGGACAACCCGCUAGACUUAAGCAUAUUAAUCAGCGGAGGAAAAGAAACUAACCAGGAUUCCCUCAGAAC